CGCUCGACGCCUCGACCAGGGCCGCACCGCGUUCACGUCUAGCCUAGCGCACGCACCGGUCGGCCUGCUUCUUACCGCACGCACCGCUCUCGCUCGCGCCUAGGGUUAGGGAUUCAAUUACGGCGGCGGCGGCGGCGGCGACGGCGGCAGCGGGUGCUGAAGGGAAACGACGGCAGCUGCAGGUGCUGAAUGACAUCGACGGCAACUGGGGGUGCUCAAUGGCGGCGACGGAGACAACGGGUGCCUAAGGGCCGCGACGGUGGCGACGGUGCUGAAGGGCCGCAACGGUGGCGGAGGGUGUUGAAGGGCGGCGACGACAACGGCUUGCGGCUGCCGUGCCUCGAGCGUGUAGUCCCAUGCUGGCGCGUUAUCCUGCUCCGGCCGUCACUGUCAGCAAGUUCAGGGUGCAGUUAACUCCUCUAGUGAUUCUGUGAUGGUUGGUUUGAUGUAUCACAUAGAAGCCAGUGCCGUAAAGAAUGAUGAGCUGCAAGCAGAGCAGGAGGUGCGCACUCUGAAGUUGCUCAGCUUGGUGCAUAAGGAAAAUGAGCUUGCCAUUUUAGUUGCCGUGCUUCUGUUUGCAACUGUUGCUGCUGAUGCGACGUACUUCGACAACAAGUGCAUGACUGAAUGUAGCUACAUCCACUUUAUGCGCCUUUCGAGUCUGUUGGUGAUGGCGGAGCCUGGAGUGUGGUUACAUGUAAAGUAGGGAACCAGUGAUGUUUGUAUUGACCUAGUGAUGCUAGUAUGUAAAAAAAUUGAACAAAUAUCAAUGUGAUGAAAGAAAUUCAAACUAGUACUGUUGCUUAUGUA
Molecule: long non-coding RNA, 810 nt
Organism: Triticum urartu
Lineage: Eukaryota; Viridiplantae; Streptophyta; Magnoliopsida; Poales; Poaceae
Source: RefSeq, a predicted model, not a curated record